AUGGUUCAAAUUACCUAGAA
This 20-nucleotide small nuclear RNA is filed under the name Arabidopsis thaliana (thale cress). RNAcentral's name for it is "snRNA_06715". Lineage: Eukaryota; Viridiplantae; Streptophyta; Magnoliopsida; Brassicales; Brassicaceae. The record is from RNAcentral.